Oncorhynchus keta (chum salmon) is the source of this 1046-nucleotide long non-coding RNA. RefSeq lists it as uncharacterized. The record is from RefSeq and is a predicted model, not a curated record. NCBI's taxonomy places the organism in Eukaryota, Metazoa, Chordata, Actinopteri, Salmoniformes, Salmonidae. The transcript is spliced from 3 exons.
AGCGGGAGAUCGCGAACGUCAGGUCUUCCCAGUAUGAAAAUGUGAUGCAAGGGAUUUUGCCAUCAACAGCCAUCAAUAUCGUUAAGCCCUGCACAACUGACCUGCUGUUUCCCAUUUAACCACGGAAAUAAAUGAUGCUCAACUGGGACCACUGGCCGAAGUGAUUUAUUUUGAGAAAACACAACGCAUGGAGAGUACAUAUACAUCUGUUACAUAAGCACACAGCCAAGACAAUGAAGGAGUGGCUUCGGGACAAGUUUCUGAAUGUCCUUGAGUGGCCCAGCCAGAGCUCAAACUUGAACCCAUUCUAACAUCUCUGGAGAGACCUGAAAAUAGUUGUGCAGCGAAGCACAACGGGGUAAAGCAUUAUGGGAUAUUGUGUGUAGAUUGAUGGGGGGAACAAUUUAAUCCAUUUUAUAAUAAGGCUGUAACAUACAUUUUUGGGGGAAAAUGUCAAGGGGUCUGAAUACUUUCUGAAUGCACUGUACAUAAAUACAUGUAAAAAUGAGUAAUAUUGGCCAGUAGCAGGAUAAAUAGAUUAAUGGUAAUGGAAAUCAAUCAUCAAUCAUUUAGAGAGUUACAUCAGACAUCUAUUGUCUCCAUCACAUAGAUCAUUUGUAAUUACCAUCUAAAUCUCCUCAUUAUGCCUGGGUCAUGAGGCCUUUGUCAUAAAUAGUAGUUAUCCACAUUCAAUGAGCUAUUCCGGGCUGGGCUCAUUAUCAUUCUAUGGUUCCUCACUUGCUACCAGAGGUGACACAUAGUUCAUUACAACUACUCUCGUUACAGUAAUGGAUUUACAUUUCUGAGUACUUAUAUUACUUAUAAUAUUUUUCAGUAACUUUUCCUCUACUUGAGUAGGAUAUUUCAGUACUCUCCAACUCUGGUAAGUGCGUGAGUGAGUAAGUGAAUAGUUAAUAGUAUAUUUAAUUUUUAAAUGAGCUACUAUUCAUUUUUACUUUAGUCGUUUUUUUAACCAGUAAUUGUACUUCUACUUGAGUCAAAUGUAAUUAAAGUAACAUUACUUCUACUUGAGUAUAUUUUCGUAC